RNAcentral lists this ribosomal RNA (253 nucleotides) under uncultured bacterium. RNAcentral's name for it is "partial 16S ribosomal RNA". It matches the Rfam family "Bacterial small subunit ribosomal RNA", at positions 524 to 776 of the family's 1533-position model. The record is from RNAcentral.
UACGAAGGGUGCAAACGUUAUUCGGAAUCACUGGGCGUAAAGGGUGCGUAGACGGUUUAUUAAGUUCGUUGUUAAAGGCUCCGGCCCAACCGGAGUAUUGCGAUGAAAACUGGUAAACUAGAGGAUGAGAGAGAGAAGUGGAAUUCCCGGAGUAGCGGUAAAAUGCGUGGAUCUCGGGAGGAACACCAAUGGCGAAGGCAGCUUCUUGGCUCAUAUCUGACGUUGAGGCACGAAAGCGUGGGGAGCAAACAGG